CUCAGAUUGCUCAAUUGGCUAGCUCUUCAAAUACAAGGCAACCUGGUUCUUUACCAUCUCAACCAACUCAUUCCAAAGAGAACGUGAAUGCUAUUGCUCUUAGAAGUGGUCGCACAUAUGAUGGUCCCCCAAUGCCUACUCAAGAUGUUUCUACUGAGAAAGAAACGGAAAGCACUAAAGAUGACAAGGUGGAUGAAGUUGUUGAUCAGAAAGAUAAUGGUGGAACUGAAGG
This 232-nucleotide long non-coding RNA is filed under the name Daucus carota (carrot). RNAcentral describes it as "long non-coding RNA (DCAR_LNC005936)". The record is from RNAcentral. Lineage: Eukaryota; Viridiplantae; Streptophyta; Magnoliopsida; Apiales; Apiaceae.